Molecule: ribosomal RNA, 301 nt
Filed under: uncultured bacterium
Lineage: Bacteria
Description: partial 16S ribosomal RNA
Rfam family: Bacterial small subunit ribosomal RNA
Source: RNAcentral
CAGUCGCCACGGUAAUACAGAGGGUGCGAGCGUUAAUCGGAUUUACUGGGCGUAAAGCGUGCGUAGGCGGCUUCUUAAGUCGGAUGUGAAAUCCCUGAGCUUAACUUAGGAAUUGCAUUCGAUACUGGGAAGCUAGAGUAUGGGAGAGGAUGGUAGAAUUCCAGGUGUAGCGGUGAAAUGCGUAGAGAUCUGGAGGAAUACCGAUGGCGAAGGCAGCCAUCUGGCCUAAUACUGACGCUGAGGUACGAAAGCAUGGGGAGGAAACAGGAUUAGAUACCCCAGUAGUCCCUGUCUCUUAUAC